AGCAGCCGCGGUAAUUCCAGCUCCAAUAGCGUAUAUUAAAGUUGUUGCAGUUAAAAAGCUCGUAGUUGAAUUUCGGGAUCAAUAUGUUGGUCGUGCCUUUGGUACGUACUAGCUUAUUGAUUUCUCCCUUCUGACGAACCAUGAUGUCAUUAAUUUGGUGUCAUGGGGAAUCAGGACUGUUACUUUGAAAAAUUAGAGUGUUUAAAGCAGGCUUACGCUUGAAUAUAUUAGCAUGGAAUAAUGAAAUAGGACGUUUUGAUUCUAUUUUGUUGGUUUCUAGGAUCGACGUAAUGAUUAAUAGGGAUAGUUGGGGGCAUUAGUAUUCAAUUGUCAGAGGUGAAAUUCUUGGAUUUAUUGAAGACUAACUACUGCGAAAGCAUUUGCCAAGGAUGUUUUCAUUAAUCAAGAACGAAAGUUAGGGGAUCGAAGACGAUCAGAUACCGUCGUAGUCUUAACCAUAAACUAUGCCGACUAGGGAUCGGAUGAUGUUAAUUUUUAAUGUACUCAUUCGGCGCCUUAA
This 520-nucleotide ribosomal RNA is filed under the name uncultured Glomus. RNAcentral describes it as "SSU rRNA". It matches the Rfam family "Eukaryotic small subunit ribosomal RNA", at positions 569 to 1091 of the family's 1831-position model. The record is from RNAcentral. Lineage: Eukaryota; Fungi; Glomeromycota; Glomeromycetes; Glomerales; Glomeraceae.